This is a non-coding RNA of Cricetulus griseus (Chinese hamster), 403 nucleotides long. The record is from RefSeq and is a predicted model, not a curated record. Lineage: Eukaryota; Metazoa; Chordata; Mammalia; Rodentia; Cricetidae.
UGAUGACAUGCUUGCUGGAGGCCUUCCGGGUCGCUUCUGGACUGCAGCCUUGACGGCCUCGUGCACUGUGCAUGUACGCUCACUUCACACACCCACUCUGUAUUAAGGGUGGUGUCAGGACUCUCACACAGAUGAGGAGGGUUGCAAGAUGGCAGAAAAGGCCCAAGGAGAGGAAGCUGCACUUGCUGCACCGGAAGUCUCAUUGUGUGAGAAAACAAGAACAUUUUCCAGAGUUCCCACAGCAGAGUUCCACUAGCUGGCAAGGCCAACUUAAGCUGCAAGGGGAAGCAAACAAAUUAACAAAAACCCAAAACAGGCCAGGCAGGAUUGCCACAAGUUCAAGGCCUGCCUGGACUGCAUGCACGGUGAGUUCCAAACUGACCUAAAAGUGAGAUACUGUCUC